UUACUUGAAGUAAAUACUUGAUUUUGUCUUUAAAAUCAGCACACGUGGCUCAGAAYACAUAGAAGAGAAGACCAGAACGGGGCUGAUGCCAUGGCUUGAGUGACUUCAUCGAAUAUGGUUGCUUUUUCUAGAAGAAAGGAAUGCUACAAGCUGAAUUUUAUGGAAUUUGCUGGGUAUUAUUUGAGAAAGAGUUUGCUUGCUCCCCAGUGUUCCCAGAAUUUCAGAAGUCUUGUAGUGAGUAAUUGGCAUGCAGUAUAUCUAAAUCUGAUCUUCAGGAUAAUCAACUGUCGGGAAGAGUCUGCUGCUACUACAGUUUGCCAUAGAAGUCAGUCAUGAAGGGAAG
Molecule: long non-coding RNA, 343 nt
Filed under: Dromaius novaehollandiae (emu)
Lineage: Eukaryota; Metazoa; Chordata; Aves; Casuariiformes; Dromaiidae
Description: lncRNA (ENSDNVG00000010182.1)
Source: RNAcentral